Selaginella moellendorffii is the source of this 361-nucleotide long non-coding RNA. RefSeq lists it as uncharacterized. Lineage: Eukaryota; Viridiplantae; Streptophyta; Lycopodiopsida; Selaginellales; Selaginellaceae. The record is from RefSeq and is a predicted model, not a curated record. The transcript has 2 exons.
CAAACUCAAACGAAAAAGAGCGAAGCUUUUGUCAAAGCUUCACCGUUUCCACUGUGGGGAGGAGGGUCUUUGGCUGCUCCAUGGGAAGGAGUGAGUACCCCACCAAAACUCCAAUUUGGCACGGCUAUAGCAAUUGAGCAACGAUAAAUGAGCCAAGUAGCUAGCGAGCUAAGUGAAACCGAGGCUCGCCGCUCACAAACGACUCAAGUCUCAGGAGGUUCUUCUGUUUUCUCAGGCGAGCCAUUUUCAGCACCAGCAUGCAAUGCACACAUACCACCACGCGUAGCCCAUCGCCCUCGCUUCAGAAAAGAUAGAUACUUUCGCUCCACAUUGAAUGAACAAAGACUCGGGCUUUUCGGCU